Molecule: long non-coding RNA, 1771 nt
Organism: Corythoichthys intestinalis (scribbled pipefish)
Lineage: Eukaryota; Metazoa; Chordata; Actinopteri; Syngnathiformes; Syngnathidae
Exons: 3
Source: RefSeq, a predicted model, not a curated record
UAAGAAAUUACAUUAAAAAUGUAAGAAUAAAUACAAAAAUAAAUGUGGAAAUAAAUACAAAAAUAAAUAUAUUGAUUGAAAUAAAUGUCAAUCAAUAAAUAAAAGCGCUUUGCCUUAUAUUUACUUAUUUCAUUGUCAGCGCCAACUUGCAAGUGGAAAUGUAAUUCAAAUGAGGGGGCGUUCCUAAGGGUGCCAUGGGUUGAACUAUUCGCUUAUUGGUUGAUCGACAUUCGAUUUCUGAAAUCUACUAGCCAUGCCUGCCACAGAUGACAGAACGUGGGUCUGAAAGUCAGGGAAACAGCCGACCUAGUUUAGUAGUCCUACUUGGUGAGAAGUGAGAGAAAAUGCAUUAUCCACCGUCGAAUGUCAAAGCAUGGUAUAAGAGUCUCUGACUUGAAUAAUUCCACUGACAUCGCAACGUUGGAUGCUGGGUGAUUACAGGGAUCCCGGGAUCUCAUCCAAAUUCUGGGUUCAGAAUGAUGCAAGGACGUCUCAGGUUCCGACGUACAAAGGUUCAGAGACUUCGUGUGCAAGAAUCCAUGCCACGUCUGGAUCCACCGGGAAUUGUCCGCACACUACAACUACAAACUGUUCGCCGUAGAUGAUAUUCUGUGCCAGCCCCCAACAGUCAAAGGCAUAGCUAUGGCAACCAUAAAGUCAAAAAUUAAAGCUCUAUAUUGGGGGACUCGGAAGGAAGUACAAAAAUAAAUUAAGACCAUAUUUUUUUCACCCAUUUUGGAAAGAUAAACCCAUAUACAGUAUAAUAUAGACCAUUUUAAAUGAAGUUGAAAUAUUUCAUGCUUUUAUUAUUUAUUACGCGCUAGGAAUCCAAUUCAUUUAGAUUUGGAGUGCUUUCGCUGCCAGCCUCUCCCAGUCAAAAAUUGAUUGGAUGUCAAGCGCUGUCAAUGGCAGCCAAUGAGUUAAAUGCUGAUGUUUAUGGCUUGCAAAAAUAAGAAACCCUAAAAUUUUAUGUGUCAGAAUUACGAAAAAAAAAAAUUCUGGGCCCUGCAACACAUUGUCUGUUAUUGCAGAAAUGUUGGUAUAGUUUUAGUUGCCACUUCUGGGAGAUGAUUGGAUGAAAUUUUACCCAUCAAAAUCAAAUUAUGAGGUGUGGCACGCCCUCUUUGCUUGUUGGCUCUUUGAAAAUGGCUUAACAAGUUAAAAUUCAAAAGGGAUAAUGUAAAGUGCACAUUUCUAAUCAAAAACGUAACAUUAAAAAAAAAACAAUAAAAGCAUGAAAUAUCCCUGACCAAAAAAGUUAAAUAAAAUUAUAUAAAUGCGAACACUUUCACGGUCUAGGGCUAGGCACAUACAGAUGAGGCUAAUCAAUAACUAAAUUCGCCAUAUACGAUGUGUGCAUGUUUAGUUAUGUUUUAGGACUAGUUGGUUCAACUUUAAAUUACAUAUUUGCAGUUUUAUGUGAUGGUCCACAUGGUUAUCAUCCCCAUGUCGAUGUCAGUCCCAGAAGUGCAGCUGCGACAGGCCUCGACUCCUGAAGAAAUUCAGCAGAUGUCAGAAUGUUCUAAUGUAUUGAAUGUCUACAACGAGACUAUCCAUCCUGCGUCAAAUAUUUGGACUUGUUUUAAAUGACAGCAUAGAAUGUUGGUUGUCGUUGAUGUGACAGUACCUCAAUAAUGUGAAGAAAUAAUAAAGGCAAUGAUUGUUUUUCUGCAAAGUAAUAUUUUAUUGAUGACCAGUGUAAUACAAUACAAAUGAUAAACAGGCAAUUGAUGUACAAAAAAGGACUUCCAGCACAACUAACUCGUUCAUC